Molecule: ribosomal RNA, 497 nt
Filed under: uncultured bacterium
Lineage: Bacteria
Description: partial 16S ribosomal RNA
Rfam family: Bacterial small subunit ribosomal RNA
Source: RNAcentral
GAUGAACGCUGGCGGCGUGCCUAAUACAUGCAAGUCGAGCGAACGGACGAGAAGCUUGCUUCUCUGAUGUUAGCGGCGGACGGGUGAGUAACACGUGGAUAACCUACCUAUAAGACUGGGAUAACUUCGGGAAACCGGAGCUAAUACCGGAUAAUAUUUUGAACCGCAUGGUUCAAAAGUGAAAGACGGUCUUGCUGUCACUUAUAGAUGGAUCCGGGCUGCAUUAGCUAGUUGGUAAGGUAACGGCUUACCAAGGCAACGAUGCAUAGCCGACCUGAGAGGGGGAUCGGCCACACUGGAACUGAGCCACGGUCCAGACUCCUACGGGAGGCAGCAGUAGGGAAUCUUCCGCAAUGAGCGAAAGCCUGACGGAGCAACGCCGCGUGAGUGAUGAAGGUCUUCGGAUCGUAAAACUCUGUUAUUAGGGAAGAACAUAUGUGUAAGUAACUGUGCACAUCUUGACGGUACCUAAUCAGAAAGCCACGGCUAACUACGUG